Molecule: long non-coding RNA, 948 nt
Organism: Carya illinoinensis
Lineage: Eukaryota; Viridiplantae; Streptophyta; Magnoliopsida; Fagales; Juglandaceae
Exons: 2
Source: RefSeq, a predicted model, not a curated record
UCUCUCUCUCUCUCUCUCUCUCUCUCUCUUCAUUUUUUUUUUAAAUCUUUCAUUCUCAGCUUCGUAUUCCUCCCAAGUUUUCUCGACCCAUCCUCUAUUCUCUCUCUCCAUCUCGCGACUCUCGAUUUCUCUUCAUCUUGCUGAACCACUCUCUCUCUCUCUCUCUCCGUUUUUGAAUUUAUGUAUUAUUUUGUUUAUGAAUUUGAUGAUCUGUGAUUUUUGUUUGCAGAAGAAGGAAAAUAUUACUCCGAUUGGCUUGAAGAUCGUGGUAAUUUCUACUCCAUGUCUUUUUGCUUUUCAACUCCUCCUCACCCAUUGUUGUUGGUGUUGGUGUUGCAGUGGUGGUGAGAGAUCAACGGAAGAUGGAAGAUGGAGAAAAAGUUUUGUCUCUCUGUUGGAUAACUGGAUAAGACCGACGGGUAAGGGGGUGAGGCUUGAUUAAAAAAUAUAUAUAUUUAUGUAAGUUCUUGCUAGCUAGCUUCAUCAUCAAGAGCUCCACACCUUAAACAUCAGUACGUAUAAUUUCUUUCUAGCAAUAAUAUUCAGGCUAGCUAAAAGGAUGGACCCGACCAGCUCCAUGGAUUCUUAUUAUGAUCCUACAGAUCAAAACAUGGCUCUGAAACUUCCAACGGCAACGUCUCCCUUACCACCACCGGAGAUAUUGGUAGUUCCCGCUCCGUGGUGAUCGAAGUUAUUGGCCUCGACGAAGCCGCUCUUCAUAGGUUCCCGAAGUUGCUUUACUCCCAGACCAAACUCAACAAGGCUGGUGACUCCACUGCUUCUGCCUGCUGCUCCAUAUGUUUACCACUGAGACUUUAAAAUAUCAAUAGAAAUCUUAAGAGGAUCCUUUUUAUUAAAAAAAAAAAAGGUGCAUUAUUUUCUCUCAAAAUUUUCUUGGAAGUUUCAUGUACAAGCGUUCAUUAAGAGAUGACUUUUCUUCUUUUUUCA